GGGUUGUGAGGUUAAGCGACUAAGCGUACACGGUGGAUGCCCUGGCAGUCAGAGGCGAUGAAGGGCGUGCUAAUCUGCGAUAAGCGCCGGUAAGGUGAUAUGAACCGUUAUAACCGACGAUACCCGAAUGGGGAAACCCAGUGUGACUCGUCACACUAUCAUUAACUGAAUCCAUAGGUUAAUGAGGCGAACCGGGGGAACUGAAACAUCUAAGUACCCCGAGGAAAAGAAAUCAACCGAGAUUCCCCCAGUAGCGGCGAGCGAACGGGGAGGAGCCCAGAGCCUGAAUCAGCAUGUGUGUUAGUGGAAGCGUCUGGAAAGGCGCGCGAUACAGGGUGACAGCCCCGUACACAAAAGCGCAUGUGCUGUGAGCUCGAUGAGUAGGGCGGGACACGUGGUAUCCUGUCUGAAUAUGGGGGGACCAUCCUCCAAGGCUAAAUACUCCUGACUGACCGAUAGUGAACCAGUACCGUGAGGGAAAGGCGAAAAGAACCCCGGCGAGGGGAGUGAAAAAGAACCUGAAACCGUGUACGUACAAGCAGUGGGAGCACAGGUUUACCUGUGUGACUGCGUACCUUUUGUAUAAUGGGUCAGCGACUUAUAUUCUGUAGCAAGGUUAACCGAAUAGGGGAGCCGCAGGGAAACCGAGUCUUAAUUGGGCGUUAAGUUGCAGGGUAUAGACCCGAAACCCGGUGAUCUAGCCAUGGGCAGGUUGAAGGUUGGGUAACACUAACUGGAGGACCGAACCGACUAAUGUUGAAAAAUUAGCGGAUGACCUGUGGCUGGGGGUGAAAGGCCAAUCAAACCGGGAGAUAGCUGGUUCUCCCCGAAAGCUAUUUAGGUAGCGCCUCGUGAAUUCAUCUCCGGGGGUAG
RNAcentral lists this ribosomal RNA (873 nucleotides) under Salmonella enterica. Its description in RNAcentral is "partial 23S ribosomal RNA". It matches the Rfam family "Bacterial large subunit ribosomal RNA", at positions 1 to 905 of the family's 2925-position model. The record is from RNAcentral. Lineage: Bacteria; Pseudomonadati; Pseudomonadota; Gammaproteobacteria; Enterobacterales; Enterobacteriaceae.